Molecule: unclassified non-coding RNA, 375 nt
Filed under: soil metagenome
Description: partial contains 5.8S ribosomal RNA, internal transcribed spacer 2, and large subunit ribosomal RNA
Rfam family: 5.8S ribosomal RNA (bases 1-120)
Source: RNAcentral
GAUGAAGAACGCAGCGAAAUGCGAUAAGUAAUGUGAAUUGCAGAAUUCAGUGAAUCAUCGAAUCUUUGAACGCACAUUGCGCCCGCCAGUAUUCUGGCGGGCAUGCCUGUUCGAGCGUCAUUUCAACCCUCAAGACCCCUUCGGGGGACUUGGUGUUGGGGACCGGCACAGGGGCCUGCCUGCUUGUCUUGCAGCGCCCUCGCCGCCCCCGAAAUGAAUUGGCGGCCUCGUCGCGGACUCCCCUGCGUAGUAGCACAAACCUCGCAACGGGAACGUGACGGCGGCCACUGCCGUAAAACAACCCAAUUUUAUUAGAGUUGACCUCGAAUCAGGUAGGAAUACCCGCUGAACUUAAGCAUAUCAAUAAGCGGAGGA